GAUGAACGCUGACAGAAUGCUUAACACAUGCAAGUCUACUUGAUUCUACUUCGGUAGUUGAUGGUGGCGGACGGGUGAGUAACGCGUAAAGAAUCUGCCCUUUAGUUUGGGAUAACCUUUGGAAACGAAGGCUAAUACCGGAUAUUAUGGAGACGUCGCAUGACGACUCCAUGAAAGCUAUAUGCGCUAGAGGAGGACUUUGCGUCCCAUUAGUUAGUUGGUGAGGUAAUGGCUCACCAAGACCGCGAUGGGUAGCCGGCCUGAGAGGGUGAUCGGCCACAAGGGAACUGGGAAACGGUCCGUACUCCUACGGGAGGCAGCAGUGGGGAAUAUUGGACCAUGGGCCACAAGCCUGAUCCAGCAAUUCUGUGUGCGCGAGGAAGGUCUUCGGAUUGUAAAGUGCUUUCAGUAGGGAAGAAAAAAAUGACGGUACCUACAGAAGAAGCGACGGCUAAAUAUGUGCCAGCAGCAGCCGCAG
Molecule: ribosomal RNA, 478 nt
Filed under: uncultured bacterium
Lineage: Bacteria
Description: partial 16S ribosomal RNA
Rfam family: Bacterial small subunit ribosomal RNA
Source: RNAcentral